AAAAGCUUAGGAUUAAAUAUUAAACCAGUGGCCUUCAACACCACAAACAAGGGAGGACCCUUAGCUUUU
This 69-nucleotide transfer RNA is filed under the name Phrynocephalus guttatus (spotted toadhead agama). RNAcentral's name for it is "tRNA-Trp". Lineage: Eukaryota; Metazoa; Chordata; Lepidosauria; Squamata; Agamidae. RNAcentral also lists the same sequence under 2 other names. The record is from RNAcentral.